GACGAACGCUGGCGGCGUGCUUAACACAUGCAAGUCGAACGGAAAGGCCCUGCUUUUGUGGGGUGCUCGAGUGGCGAACGGGUGAGUAACACGUGAGUAACCUGCCCUUGACUUUGGGAUAACUCUAGGAAACUGGGGCUAAUACCGGAUAGGAGCUCCUGCUGCAUGGUGGGGGUUGGAAAGUUUCGGCGGUGGGGGAUGGACUCGCGGCUUAUCAGCUGGUUUGUGGGGCAGUGGCUUACCAAGGCUUUGACGGGUAGCCGGCCUGGGAGGGUGGACGGCCACAUGGGGACUGAGAUACGGACCAGACUCCUACGGGAGGCAGCAGUGGGGAAUAUUGCACAAUGGGCGGACGCCUGAUGCAGAAACGCCGCGUGCGGGAUGACGGCCUUCGGGUUGUAAACAGCUUUCGCCUGUGACGAAGCGUGAGUGACGGUAAUGGGUAAAGAAGCACCGGCUAACUACGUG
This 468-nucleotide ribosomal RNA is filed under the name uncultured bacterium. Its description in RNAcentral is "partial 16S ribosomal RNA". It matches the Rfam family "Bacterial small subunit ribosomal RNA", at positions 28 to 507 of the family's 1533-position model. The record is from RNAcentral.